RNAcentral lists this ribosomal RNA (403 nucleotides) under Verrucomicrobiota bacterium. Its description in RNAcentral is "Verrucomicrobia bacterium partial 16S ribosomal RNA". It matches the Rfam family "Bacterial small subunit ribosomal RNA", at positions 355 to 776 of the family's 1533-position model. Lineage: Bacteria; Pseudomonadati; Verrucomicrobiota. The record is from RNAcentral.
UGGGGAAUAUUUCACAAUGGGCGCAAGCCUGAUGCAGCAACGCCGCGUGAACGAUGAAGGUCUUCGGAUCGUAAAGUUCUGUUGCAGGGGAAGAUAAUGACGGUACCCUGUGAGGAAGCCCCGGCUAACUACGUGCCAGCAGCCGCGGUAAUACGUAGGGGGCUAGCGUUAUCCGGAUUUACUGGGUGUAAAGGGUGCGUAGGUGGUCCUUCAAGUCGGUGGUUAAAGGCUACGGCUCAACCGUAGUAAGCCGCCGAAACUGGAGGACUUGAGUGCAGGAGAGGAAAGUGGAAUUCCCAGUGUAGCGGUGAAAUGCGUAGAUAUUGGGAGGAACACCAGUAGCGAAGGCGGCUUUCUGGACUGCAACUGACACUGAGGCACGAAAGCGGGGGUAGCAAACAGG